Molecule: ribosomal RNA, 253 nt
Filed under: uncultured bacterium
Lineage: Bacteria
Description: partial 16S ribosomal RNA
Rfam family: Bacterial small subunit ribosomal RNA
Source: RNAcentral
UACGGAGGGUGCGAGCGUUGUUCGGAAUCACUGGGCGUAAAGCGCGUGUAGGCGGCCCAUUAAGUCUGAUGUGAAAGCCCGGGGCUCACCCCCGGAAGUGCAUUGGAAACUGAUGGACUCGAGUCCCGGAGAGGAGAGUGGAAUUCCUGGUGUAGCGGUGAAAUGCGUAGAUAUCAGGAGGAACACCGGUGGCGAAGGCGGCGACCUGGGUCGAGACUGACGCUGAGGCGCGAAAGCGUGGGGAGCAAACAGG